This 103-nucleotide microRNA precursor is filed under the name Marmota monax (woodchuck). Lineage: Eukaryota; Metazoa; Chordata; Mammalia; Rodentia; Sciuridae. The record is from RNAcentral.
AGUGGGAUAGCUAGGUCAAAUGGUCGUUCCAAUCCCAGGUUUCCAAGGAUUCUCCAUACUGCUUUCCAGAUUGGCUGCACCAAUUUGCAGUUCCACCAGCAAU